Molecule: ribosomal RNA, 468 nt
Filed under: uncultured bacterium
Lineage: Bacteria
Description: partial 16S ribosomal RNA
Rfam family: Bacterial small subunit ribosomal RNA
Source: RNAcentral
GACGAACGCUGGCGGCAGGCUUAACACAUGCAAGUCGAACGGAAAGGCCCUGCUUUUUUGGUCUUCUCUGGUGGCGAACGGAUGGGUAAGACGUGAGUAACCUACCCUUGGCUUUGGGGUAACUUCAAGUAACUGGGGCUAAUACCGGAUCGGAACUCCUGCUGCCUGGUGGGGGUUGGAAAGUUUCGGCGGUUGAGGAUGGACUCGCGGCUUAUCAGCUUGUUUGUGGGGGAGUGGCUUACCCAGGCUUUGCCUGGUAUGCGUCAUGAGAGCGGUACCGGCGACAAGGGGACUGAGAUAGGGAGCAGACUGGUAUGGGAGACAGCAGGGGGGAAUAUUGCGCAGCGGUGGGAAGUCUGAUGAAGCAACGCCGCGGGUGUGAUGACGGUCUUCGGGGGGUAAACCGAGUUCGGCUGUGACGAAGCGUGAGUGACGGUAAUGGGUGAAGAAGCACCGGCUAACUACGUG